AGUACCCGGAGGAAGAGAAAGAAAAUUCGAUUCCCUUAGUAGCGGCGAGCGAAACGGGAAGAGCCCAAACCAACAAGCUUGCUUGUUGGGGUUGUAGGACACUCUAUACGGAGUUACAAAGGACGACAUUAGACGAAUCAUCUGGAAAGAUGAAUCAAAGAAGGUAAUAAUCCUGUAGUCGAAAAUGUUGUCUCUCUUGAGUGGAUCCUGAGUACGACGGAGCACGUGAAAUUCCGUCGGAAUCUGGGAGGACCAUCUCCUAAGGCUAAAUACUCUCUAGUGACCGAUAGUGAACCAGUACCGUGAGGGAAAGGUGAAAAGCACCCCGGAAGGGGAGUGAAAUAGAACCUGAAACCGUGUGCUUACAAGUAGUCAGAGCCCGUUAAUGGGUGAUGGCGUGCCUUUUGUAGAAUGAACCGGCGAGUUACGAUUUGAUGCAAGGUUAAGCAGUAAAUGUGGAGCCGUAGCGAAAGCGAGUCUGAAUAGGGCGUUUAGUAUUUGGUCGUAGACCCGAAACCAGGUGAUCUACCCUUGGUCAGGUUGAAGUUCAGGUAACACUGAAUGGAGGACCGAACCGACUUACGUUGAAAAGUGAGCGGAUGAACUGAGGGUAGCGGAGAAAUUCCAAUCGAACCUGGAGAUAGCUGGUUCUCUCCGAAAUAGCUUUAGGGCUAGCCUCAAGUGAUGAUUAUUGGAGGUAGAGCACUGUUUGGACGAGGGGCCCCUCUCGGGUUACCGAAUUCAGACAAACUCCGAAUGCCAAUUAAUUUAACUUGGGAGUCAGAACAUGGGUGAUAAGGUCCGUGUUCGAAAGGGAAACAGCCCAGACCACCAGCUAAGGUCCCAAAAUAUAUGUUAAGUGGAAAAGGAUGUGGCGUUGCCCAGACAACUAGGAUGUUGGCUUAGAAGCAGCCAUCAUUUAAAGAGUGCGUAAUAGCUCACUAGUCGAGUGACACUGCGCCGAAAAUGUACCGGGGCUAAACAUAUUACCGAAGCUGUGGAUUGUCCUUUGGACAAUGGUAGGAGAGCGUUCUAAGGGCGUUGAAGCAUGAUCGUAAGGACAUGUGGAGCGCUUAGAAGUGAGAAUGCCGGUGUGAGUAGCGAAAGACGGGUGAGAAUCCCGUCCACCGAUUGACUAAGGUUUCCAGAGGAAGGCUCGUCCGCUCUGGGUUAGUCGGGUCCUAAGCUGAGGCCGACAGGCGUAGGCGAUGGAUAACAGGUUGAUAUUCCUGUACCACCUAUAAUCGUUUUAAUCGAUGGGGGGACGCAGUAGGAUAGGCGAAGCGUGCGAUUGGAUUGCACGUCUAAGCAGUAAGGCUGAGUAUUAGGCAAAUCCGGUACUCAUUAAGGCUGAGCUGUGAUGGGGAGAAGACAUUGUGUCUUCGAGUCGUUGAUUUCACACUGCCGAGAAAAGCCUCUAGAUAGAAAAUAGGUGCCCGUACCGCAAACCGACACAGGUAGUCAAGAUGAGAAUUCUAAGGUGAGCGAGCGAACUCUCGUUAAGGAACUCGGCAAAAUGACCCCGUAACUUCGGGAGAAGGGGUGCUCUUUAGGGUUAACGCCCAGAAGAGCCGCAGUGAAUAGGCCCAAGCGACUGUUUAUCAAAAACACAGGUCUCUGCUAAACCGUAAGGUGAUGUAUAGGGGCUGACGCCUGCCCGGUGCUGGAAGGUUAAGAGGAGUGGUUAGCUUCUGCGAAGCUACGAAUCGAAGCCCCAGUAAACGGCGGCCGUAACUAUAACGGUCCUAAGGUAGCGAAAUUCCUUGUCGGGUAAGUUCCGACCCGCACGAAAGGCGUAACGAUUUGGGCACUGUCUCAACGAGAGACUCGGUGAAAUCAUAGUACCUGUGAAGAUGCAGGUUACCCGCGACAGGACGGAAAGACCCCGUGGAGCUUUACUGUAGCCUGAUAUUGAAAUUCGGCACAGCUUGUACAGGAUAGGUAGGAGCCUUUGAAACGUGAGCGCUAGCUUACGUGGAGGCGCUGGUGGGAUACUACCCUAGCUGUGUUGGCUUUCUAACCCGCACCACUUAUCGUGGUGGGAGACAGUGUCAGGCGGGCAGUUUGACUGGGGCGGUCGCCUCCUAAAAGGUAACGGAGGCGCUCAAAGGUUCCCUCAGAAUGGUUGGAAAUCAUUCAUAGAGUGUAAAGGCAUAAGGGAGCUUGACUGCGAGACCUACAAGUCGAGCAGGGUCGAAAGACGGACUUAGUGAUCCGGUGGUUCCGCAUGGAAGGGCCAUCGCUCAACGGAUAAAAGCUACCCCGGGGAUAACAGGCUUAUCUCCCCCAAGAGUUCACAUCGACGGGGAGGUUUGGCACCUCGAUGUCGGCUCAUCGCAUCCUGGGGCUGUAGUCGGUCCCAAGGGUUGGGCUGUUCGCCCAUUAAAGCGGUACGCGAGCUGGGUUCAGAACGUCGUGAGACAGUUCGGUCCCUAUCCGUCGUGGGCGUAGGAAAUUUGAGAGGAGCUGUCCUUAGUACGAGAGGACCGGGAUGGACAUACCUCUGGUGUACCAGUUGUCGUGCCAACGGCAUAGCUGGGUAGCUAUGUGUGGACGGGAUAAGU
Molecule: ribosomal RNA, 2564 nt
Filed under: Staphylococcus aureus
Lineage: Bacteria; Bacillati; Bacillota; Bacilli; Caryophanales; Staphylococcaceae
Description: bacterial LSU rRNA
Rfam family: Bacterial large subunit ribosomal RNA
Source: RNAcentral